Molecule: ribosomal RNA, 253 nt
Filed under: uncultured bacterium
Lineage: Bacteria
Description: partial 16S ribosomal RNA
Rfam family: Bacterial small subunit ribosomal RNA
Source: RNAcentral
UACAGAGGUCUCAAGCGUUGUUCGGAUUCAUUGGGCGUAAAGGGUGCGUAGGCGGCCAACUAAGUCGGAUGUGAAAUCCCCAGGCUCAACCUGGGAACUGCAUCCGAUACUGGAUGGCUUGAAUCCGGGAGAGGGAUGCAGAAUUCCAGGUGUAGCGGUGAAAUGCGUAGAUAUCUGGAGGAAUACCGGUGGCGAAGGCGACUACCUGGCCUGUUCUUGACGCUGAGGCGCGAAAGCUAGGGGAGCAAACGGG